Molecule: long non-coding RNA, 1294 nt
Organism: Ictalurus punctatus (channel catfish)
Lineage: Eukaryota; Metazoa; Chordata; Actinopteri; Siluriformes; Ictaluridae
Source: Ensembl
AGACUCGGACUCACGACUGUAUAUUCAUAACUCGCACAAAUCAACUCGUAGGACUCGUAAGCAAAGGGAACCAUUUCAUAACGUUCUUGGAACUAUCUGGUUUGAUGAUCAAAACCUGACGUUUAUACAUGAGCUCUCACCCAAUGACGCACUGGAGCUACACAGGGACCGCCUUCCUCAUUUCCAUAUUGAACAUGAAAAGGUUUGGUCCUCCAUAUUAAGGGGUUUCCUGUGGGUACUCAGGUUUCCUCCCACAGUCCAAAGACAGUUGUACACUGAGUUUCCUGGGACAGACUCCAGACUCCCCUGCAACCCUGUGUGGAGUAAGCAGUACAGAAAAGGAUAUAUAUAUAUUUCCAUAAAGAAAACUACCCUGAAAAACAAAACAAGAACUAAAAAAUGAUCUGUUCUGAAAAUGUUUCUGGAACUGAAAACAUGAUGCUUUUAGUAACAAAAAUCUGUUGUACAUGUCGUUAGUCUUACAUAUUUUGCAUGGCAGCACCCUCCCAGAAAAAAGAGCACUAAACAUGACCAUUCCUUUUCAUUGGGCUGGUACCCUGUAACUUUAAUAUAUUUCACCUAUAAAUAUGUGCUUUUUAAAAAAGGCCCGUAAUCUCCUUUUAGCGCAACUCUAUGAACAUACACUACAUGUACUUUUCAAGGUAAAGUAUACUAACAAUACAAAAAGUGCACCUUUGAGUGUACCACCCCAUUGACAAAGAAUGGUUCAUUGCAGUACCCUUUAUUUAUGAGUGCAGCAGUAGUUUCAGCAGGUUUUUUUCCCCAGCUUGGACACCAAUGUAGUAUUGCCCUGGGGGGAGGGGUUUUUUAAAUGUCACAAGCCAGUCUACUUGUGUGUCAUAGUACAUUUAAUUGUAACCCAAUACAGAGGCAAACACGUGAAAUGCGUCUGUCAGCACCACUAUUCUUAGAGCCUUUCCUCAGUUUAUCUUAUGGACAUGCGAACAAUACCACAGAUACCUGGGUUACUAUGGACUUCAUGCAUGUCAUGCACAAAAUCAGAUUUGGAGAAUAUGCAGAACAAUAAAAGCACUGGGAAACUGGUAAUUGGGUUUUUAUGAUGUUACAAUCAUAUUGGAUCUCAUACAUUUAUGCUCAUUCCAAUUAAAUGGUUUCUUUGUCUGUCUGGUCACAUGCAAGCACAAGAUUGUACAGUAUACUGCAUGAACUCAGAAAAUUGUAUGCUGUUUCAGAAACAUGCUCAGGGGCCAGGUUAAAAGGAGUGCAAAUCAAAUCAUCUGUAAUUUUUUUAAGAUAACACAAUCUUGCAAUA